Molecule: ribosomal RNA, 301 nt
Filed under: uncultured bacterium
Lineage: Bacteria
Description: partial 16S ribosomal RNA
Rfam family: Bacterial small subunit ribosomal RNA
Source: RNAcentral
CAGUAGCCGCGGGAAUACGGAGGGUGCAAGCGUUAAUCGGAAUUACUGGGCGUAAAGCGUGCGUAGGCGGUUCGUUAAGUCUGUUGUGAAAGCCCCGGGCUCAACCUGGGAAUGGCAAUGGAUACUGGCGAGCUAGAGUGUGUCAGAGGAUGGUGGAAUUCCCGGUGUAGCGGUGAAAUGCGUAGAGAUCGGGAGGAACAUCAGUGGCGAAGGCGGCCAUCUGGGACAACACUGACGCUGAGGCACGAAAGCGUGGGGAGCAAACAGGAUUAGAUACCCGUGUAGUCCCUGUCUCUUAUAA